GCAGCAGGCGCGAAACCUUUACACUGCACGCCAGUGCGAUAAGGGGAUCCCAAGUGCGUAGGCAUAGAGCCUACGCUUUUGUCCACCCUAGGGUGGUGGACGAAUAAGGGCUGGGCAAGYCCGGUGCCAGCCGCCGCGGUAAUACCSGCAGCCCGAGUGAUGGCCGAUCUUAUUGGGCCUAAAGCGUCCGUAGCUGGCCGCACAAGUCCAUCGGGAAAUCCACCUGCUCAACAGGUGGGCGUCCGGUGGAAACUGUGUGGCUUGGGACCGGAAGGCGCGACGGGUACGUCCGGGGUAGGAGUGAAAUCCCGUAAUCCUGGACGGACCGCCGAUGGCGAAAGCACGUCGCGAAAACGGAUCCGACAGUGAGGGACGAAAGCUAGGGUCUCGAACCGGAUUAGAUACCCGGGUAGUCCUAGCCGUAAACACUGCCUGCUAGGUGUGGCACCCACUACGAGUGGGUGCUGUGCCGUAGGGAAGCCGCUUAGCAGGCCGCCUGGGAAGUACGUCCGCAAGGAUGAAACUUAAAGGAAUUGGCGGGGGAGCACUACAACCGGAGGAGCCUGCGGUUUAAUUGGAUUCAACGCCGG
RNAcentral lists this ribosomal RNA (590 nucleotides) under uncultured haloarchaeon. RNAcentral's name for it is "bacterial SSU rRNA". It matches the Rfam family "Archaeal small subunit ribosomal RNA", at positions 332 to 921 of the family's 1478-position model. Lineage: Archaea; Methanobacteriati; Methanobacteriota; Halobacteria; Halobacteriales; Halobacteriaceae. The record is from RNAcentral.